UAAUGCAGGUGCGUGCGGCGCACACACGCACAUGGUUUAUUCGAAGAAGCAAACACACACACACACACACUCAGGCGACGAUGAGUAAUAUAUCAUCAAAGGAUAUAAUGGAGACAUUAAUUUCCUCGAUCAGCUACUGCUGAUCCUCCUUCUUCGAGAAAUAGCUGGCACAGCCACGCCGAAGCCAUGAUUCAUCGCCAUGUUCCUCUUUUAGUGCUUGAUCCUGACGCUGCGGCUUCUUAGGUGUAAGAACAGGUUUAUUUUUAUGUGCUCUGAUGUCUUUCUUCACCUGCUUAGGGACAUUGUCACAGUCCAGAUCAAGCUCCUUCAAUUUCUCAACAUUGCCAAUGCCAGGGAGAGGCUCCAACUCAGCGAAGGACGGCCGUGACCAGAUGAUCUUCUCAAGGUACGGCGGAAUCGGUGGCUCGACGCAAAGCAUCUCGCCCCCCCCCCUCCCCCCCACGCAUCACCACGAUUUCUGCUUCUCCUCCCGGCAGGCGGCGGCGCUGCCCCCGACCCCCCGACGCAGGCACCGCAUCACCGCAUCUCUCCCGAGCCCCCGACGGAUCACUGCAUCACCGCGGUUUCCGCUAGUCCUCCCGGCAGGCGGCGGCGCUGGUCGCGCCACCCCCGAGCCCCCGGCGCGGUAUUUGUUUUCCCAUAUAUUUUCUGUAAUUAGUUUUUGCCAAACUGAUUGAAAGGUUCUUUAGCGGUUGACAAGGUAUUCCGAGGCCUUCUUGCAGGUAUAUGAACCUCAACUCUAUUGUUUUGUAACAAAAACAAAUCAUUCAAUUGCGACUGUAGUUUAUGAUAGAGUAUCUGCAGAGUUUUCCACUGAUACUGAACAAUGGCACUGCAUAAAUUGUUUCUUUAUGUUAUUUCGAAAGUUUGCAAGUUAUUUCCUCGUUAAUUUCAGUAUUUUGAAAUUUGAAUGGCUGGGUUAUCAGAUCAGUAUCUGAUCCGAUGUGUUCAAUUUGCAUUGUUGUAUUUAAGCCGAAAGAGACCCCCUCGCUGCUGGAGCAAACAACUGCCGGCAGGAAGGUGUGGCAAUAUCUGGCUUGCUAGAUGGAACUGGAGAUUAUGAAGGUGACAGGGUGCUUGUUGGAGAUGUGCCGUGGGGGAUGUUUGUUUCUUCAGUUAAGAGACUGAGAGUACUGAAGACAUCUGACCUAUCUUCAUCUCUUAUAACUUCUGGACGGAAAAGAACAGCAGCUGAGUGUUGACCUUCUUUUUUCGAUCUGCUUUAACACUUUCAGUGACCUGCUGUUCAGAAGAAUAUGAUCCUCUGAGCUUGUAUCAUCGUCUCUUUCUCUCAAUGUCUUGCUGUGCUGAGCUUGUAACCAGCCAUUAGAGAAGACAGUCCGAGAUUAGGGCAAAAGGAUAGCUCCAUCCAAGAGACGAAGGCCAUUCAGUGAGACAUUGCACACAAAUAACCAAUAAGGGUCAGGUUCUUAGUGAGAGAUGGUGAAACAGAAGGGAGCUCCAGUAGCAUGUUUUGGUUCUUGAAGCCUUGCACAUUUCUAGUGGAGUAACAGCAAAAUAACCAGAAGCUUUGAAGAACUGCACUUUAUGUAGUCAGGAUACAUUAUUUCAUUCUAUUCGAUUCCAAUUUGGCCAAUUCAUAUGAUCGACAUUUUUGUCAGGAAAUAAACAGCAAGCAAUGUAUAGUUACUUACCAAAGUGAUACAUGUUUGAGAGAUUCUUUCCAUAUGUUGGGUUCAAGAUAUAGAAAAAUAUUGUUCUUAUGUGGCUUAA
This is a non-coding RNA of Oryza sativa Japonica Group (Japanese rice), 1755 nucleotides long. Lineage: Eukaryota; Viridiplantae; Streptophyta; Magnoliopsida; Poales; Poaceae. The record is from RefSeq and is a predicted model, not a curated record.